AGAUAGGAGGUCUGGCCUAGUUCUGAUUUCGUGGGCACUCUUUCGCGUAAUGUUGGGCACUCCACAUAUGCAGCAAGUAUUGUUAAAGCGAUAGCAGGGUCGGUCCCCAUGAUCCUUAGUAAAAAUCCCGAUCAGCAAGAGGGUUGUGAGUAGUUCACCACCCAGACUAAUCACAGAUACGGAAAACUGAAGAUUGAUAAAAAUUAGAAAAAUAACUAAUGGAGCCUCUACUUU
This 234-nucleotide long non-coding RNA is filed under the name Carica papaya (papaya). RNAcentral describes it as "long non-coding RNA (CPAP_LNC005061)". Lineage: Eukaryota; Viridiplantae; Streptophyta; Magnoliopsida; Brassicales; Caricaceae. The record is from RNAcentral.